GGGUUGUGAGGUUAAGCGACUAAGCGUACACGGUGGAUGCCCUGGCAGUCAGAGGCGAUGAAGGGCGUGCUAAUCUGCGAUAAGCGCCGGUAAGGUGAUAUGAACCGUUAUAACCGGCGAUACCCGAAUGGGGAAACCCAGUGUGACUCGUCACACUAUCAUUAACUGAAUCCAUAGGUUAAUGAGGCGAACCGGGGGAACUGAAACAUCUAAGUACCCCGAGGAAAAGAAAUCAACCGAGAUUCCCCCAGUAGCGGCGAGCGAACGGGGAGGAGCCCAGAGCCUGAAUCAGCAUGUGUGUUAGUGGAAGCGUCUGGAAAGGCGCGCGAUACAGGGUGACAGCCCCGUACACAAAAGCGCAUGUGCUGUGAGCUCGAUGAGUAGGGCGGGACACGUGGUAUCCUGUCUGAAUAUGGGGGGACCAUCCUCCAAGGCUAAAUACUCCUGACUGACCGAUAGUGAACCAGUACCGUGAGGGAAAGGCGAAAAGAACCCCGGCGAGGGGAGUGAAAAAGAACCUGAAACCGUGUACGUACAAGCAGUGGGAGCCCCACCACCAAAGCAUUUGCUGUACCGCGUUGACGGAGCGAAGCGACGUCAAACCGAUAAAACAGCAGUGUAAAGUGAGCCGCAGGGCGCUUUG
This 643-nucleotide ribosomal RNA is filed under the name Salmonella enterica subsp. enterica serovar Enteritidis. RNAcentral's name for it is "partial 23S ribosomal RNA". It matches the Rfam family "Bacterial large subunit ribosomal RNA", at positions 1 to 699 of the family's 2925-position model. The record is from RNAcentral. Lineage: Bacteria; Pseudomonadati; Pseudomonadota; Gammaproteobacteria; Enterobacterales; Enterobacteriaceae.